This 425-nucleotide unclassified non-coding RNA is filed under the name soil metagenome. RNAcentral's name for it is "partial contains 5.8S ribosomal RNA, internal transcribed spacer 2, and large subunit ribosomal RNA". The stretch from base 1 to 120 matches the Rfam family "5.8S ribosomal RNA", at positions 35 to 154 of the family's 154-position model. The record is from RNAcentral.
GAUGAAGAACGUAGCAAAAUGCGAUAAGUAAUGUGAAUUGCAGAAUUCAGUGAAUCAUCGAAUCUUUGAACGCACCUUGCGCUCCUUGGUAUUCCGAGGAGCAUGCCUGUUUGAGUGUCAUGAAACCCUCAAACCCAAGUUUUGGAUUUCGAUCCAUGCUUGAGUUUGGAUUUGGAUGUUUGCCGGUGAUGAACCGACUCAUCUUAAAAGUAUUAGCUUGGAUCUGUCUAUAUGACUGGUUUGACUUGGCAUAAUAAGUAUUUUGCUGAGGACAUCUUCGGAUGGCCAGGACCUAGACUACUGUCUGCUAACUAAACCAUCACUUUAAGUGCAUCUUUGGAUGUUACUCAUUGUGUAACUUUGACAUCUGGCCUCAAAUCAAGUAGGACUACCCGCUGAACUUAAGCAUAUCAAUAAGCGGAGGA